RNAcentral lists this ribosomal RNA (465 nucleotides) under Vreelandella stevensii. RNAcentral's name for it is "partial 16S ribosomal RNA". It matches the Rfam family "Bacterial small subunit ribosomal RNA", at positions 338 to 795 of the family's 1533-position model. Lineage: Bacteria; Pseudomonadati; Pseudomonadota; Gammaproteobacteria; Oceanospirillales; Halomonadaceae. The record is from RNAcentral.
CCUACGGGAGGCUGCAGUGGGGAAUAUUGGACAAUGGGGGGAACCCUGAUCCAGCCAUGCCGCGUGUGUGAAGAAGGCCCUCGGGUUGUAAAGCACUUUCAGUGAGGAAGAACGCCUGGUGGUUAAUACCCAUCAGGAAAGACAUCACUCACAGAAGAAGCACCGGCUAACUCCGUGCCAGCAGCCGCGGUAAUACGGAGGGUGCGAGCGUUAAUCGGAAUUACUGGGCGUAAAGCGCGCGUAGGUGGCUUGAUAAGCCGGUUGUGAAAGCCCCGGGCUCAACCUGGGAACGGCAUCCGGAACUGUCAAGCUAGAGUGCAGGAGAGGAAGGUAGAAUUCCCGGUGUAGCGGUGAAAUGCGUAGAGAUCGGGAGGAAUACCAGUGGCGAAGGCGGCCUUCUGGACUGCCACUGACACUGAGGUGCGAAAGCGUGGGUAGCAAACAGGAUUAGAUACCCUUGUAGUC